AAGUUUUGGAGCGUGACUGGAUCUAGAUCUAUAAAAUUUAAAUGUUUAUGUACAUAUGUAGUUCUAUAACUUGACUUGUGUUAACGAAGUCAGUAGUAUAGAAGACCUCGAGCAGCUGAUCCUAAAAACUUGGACCCUGAUAACUGGUAAUAGUAUAAACCGGUAUAUAAUGGACUGGAAAGACUGCUGGGAAAAGGGCACUUUGCCCUGGCAUAUGGAAGAUACACAUCCAAAAUUUGUAUUGCAUUUAGACAAGAUAACGGGAAAGAAGAAUAAAGCUAAAAUAUUUUUUCCUUUAUGUGGCAAGGCUGUUGAAAUGUUUUAUCUAGCCAAGAGGGGCCACACUAUUGUUGGAGUUGAAUACAUUGAAUUAGCUGUCAAGCAGUUCUUUGAUGAAAAUAAGCUGUCAUUUAAAACAAAACCUGUACCAGAAAUAGAUGGCGAUGUGUAUGAAAACGAAGAAAACCGUAUAAAGAUUUAUUGUGGAGAUUACUUCAAAUUUAGCCCAACUUUAGAAAAAAAUUUUGAUGGUGUUUGGGACCGUGGAGGUCUGGAAGCUGUAGAUGUCGACCAGCGUGGGAAAUAUACAGACGUGAUGAAAUCUGUCAUGAAACGAGGAGCUGGAUGUGUUACAGAAGUGCCCGACCGUCCAAAAGGAGAAGGACCGCCAUUUAAUCUAUCUGUCGAUGAAAUUACCCAACUCUACGACUUAAAGGCACCACCAGAAAAAAUUGAUUACGAUCCGGCAAGCGAAAUUCUCAAAUCAAUGAAUGUGGAUGGAAUGUUUUAUUAUUAUUACAAAAUACAGUCAUGAUAUGAUCAUAUUGCAGCAUUUUAUGUAUCUAUCUCAAAAUAUUUACCGUAGAUGAUCACCCAUUUUAAUGAUACUAGUACUUGUUUCAUUCACAGGAUUAAAUGCAGAUUUGUUGAAACUUUUUAGUCAACAAUAAGCAAUUUGUAUUAACACCUUGAUUUUUAUGUUUUAGUUUUCUAUGUUGUGUCUAUAAUACUGUUGUUUGUCUUUUGGUAUUUUUUUUUAUAUCUAUCUCAAAAUAUUUUUUUAAUAUAUAUAACAACUUGUGCAAAUCAAAAUGCUAAGCAUAUCAAUUUUUUUUCAAAUUUCAGACGAUGGUACACAUUUCUCCCAUAGAGUAUUCUAGCUUCAAAAUCACUUCAUUUGUUAAUUCAGUAUUUAAUAUAUGAACCCACUUGUUAUUCUUUCAUUAUAUGGGGAAGGUAGUUUGAUCAAUCAUCUAACCCGUUCAAACCAAUUACUGUUUCUUUUGGCUUAACAUAUUGCUGUUUUUCCACUUUUCCAUUAAAAACUACAAAUAAUGGGUGUCAAAUGUACUAAAUGGUUUGAAUCACUUAUGUAGUAGACAACAACAAGUUUGUAUUAAUGGUUCUGAUUUAAGAUAUAUUACAUGUGGAUUACCACAAGGGAGUAUUUAAGGCCCACUAUUAUUCAUGUAUUAUGUUAAUGACAUGUCUAUAAGCGUUAGCAAAGACUGCAAAAUAUUGUUAUUUGCAGACGAUAGUACCAGACUAUAUUCGGAUAAGAACCCAAAAGUUAUAUUUCAGAAACUGGGUAAGGAACUUGAAUCUUGCAGUAAAUGGCUGAUCGAUAAUAAAUUAUCACUUCAUUUGGGGAAAACAUAAACUUUUAUGUUAAGGUCUAAUCUUAAAUUGGUGAAAAAUUCUUAACUUUGACGUUACUUGUAAUAAUCACAUAAUUUUAUCACAGAAAUGUGUGAAAUAUAAAGUCUAAGUAUUGAUUAUUCUCUUUCUGGAGAAAAUUUUUUAAAUAAUGUUAUACAAAAGAUAAACUCGCGAUUUACUGAGUUUCUAUACAGACAGGCCAAAUGUUUACCAGAACAUUCUAGAAAAACUUUAGUUACAGCUUUAAUUCAAUGUCAUAUGACUAUGCCUGUUCUGCAUUGUAUGCAGGUGUCAGUAAAAAAUAUAAAAAAUAUAAAAAUAUAAAGUUACAAGUAUUAUAAAACAAAUGUGCUAGAUGUAUAAAACAAAAUACUGGAUAUAGAUCCGAAGUUGACCAUAAUGUAUUGAAUAGUAUUGAUUGAAAUCGUGUUAUACAAUUAAGAUUAAACCAUGUUCAUUAUAUUUAUUACCAUCGUUGUCCUAGUUACAAAGGUGAGACAUUGUCAUAAUCAUUUCACAAGAAAUAGUGAUAUAACUUCUGGGUUCCACCAGUUGAGAGUCAACAAAAAGAUACUUGUUAUUAUAAUGGUAUACAAGAUUGGAAUAUGUUACAAAUUAUGUUAAAAAAAAUGCAUUCAAAAUUAGCGUUAAAGGGUACUUGACAAAAAGUUAAAAUGUGGUUUCAUCUGACUGCUUUUUAUAUUAUUAAAUUUGGUUUUUUAUUAAAAUUACUUUUAUAUGAAGUUUUAUGUCAGAUUUAUUUGUGUAUUAUCAAUUUUGUAUGUCGAAAAUAUAAGCGGUUUACAUGAAGGGACCCCAUUGGAAACAAGCUUCAGAGCUAGAUGGGUUAUCCCUGAUAAAAUAUCAGCAUUUUGUUUUCCGUACACAAAAGGUACUAUAUUCACCAAAUGCUCUAUUUUAUCAAGUAUGCGUUUGUAUAUGUCUUUGUAUAUUGUAUAGUGUGUAUUGUAAAACUUGUAUGCUUGAUAUUUUAUUGAAUAAAAUAUUAUUAUUAUUA
Molecule: long non-coding RNA, 2677 nt
Organism: Mytilus californianus (California mussel)
Lineage: Eukaryota; Metazoa; Mollusca; Bivalvia; Mytilida; Mytilidae
Exons: 2
Source: RefSeq, a predicted model, not a curated record